GACGAACGCUGGCGGCGUGCUUAACACAUGCAAGUCGAACGGAAAGGCCCAGCUUGCGGGGUGCGCGAGUGGCGAACGGGGGAGUAACACGUGUGUGAUCUGCGCCUAACUUCGGGAGAAGCUUUGGAAACUGUGGCGAAUAUCGGGUAGGACAAUCGCUGAUGGUUGGUGGGGGAAAGAUUGUUCGGUUGGGGAUGAGCCCGCGGCCUAUCAGCUUGUUGGUGGGGUAGUGGCCUACCAAGGCGUCGACGGGUAGCCGGCCUGAGAGGGUGGACGGCCACAUUGGGACUGAGAUACGGCCCAGACUCCUACGGGAGGCAGCAGUGGGGAAUAUUGCACAAUGGGCGCAAGCCUGAUGCAGCGACGCCGCGUGGGGGAUGACGGCCUUCGGGUUGUAAACCUCUUUCGCCAGGGACGAAGCUUUGGUGACGGUACCUGUAUAAGAAGCACCGGCUAACUACGUG
Molecule: ribosomal RNA, 464 nt
Filed under: uncultured bacterium
Lineage: Bacteria
Description: partial 16S ribosomal RNA
Rfam family: Bacterial small subunit ribosomal RNA
Source: RNAcentral